AUGUUGGCUGAUUGGAAUGAUCUAUUUAAUAUAAUUAGUAAUGUGGUGUUGGAUGACAGGGAGGAUACUAUUCGCUGGAAUUAUGAUCCCAAGGGCAUAUACACUGUUAAAUCCUUUUAUAAUUUCAUCAAUUUCAGGGGUGUGCAACCGGGCAACAUUCCUGUUGUCUGGAAUUUUAAUGUCCCCCUAAGGAUUCAGAUUUUUCUCUGGCUUUUGGUUAAAAACAAAUUAUUGACUAGAGACAACCUGCAGAAAAGACAACAUGUAGAAGAUCCGACCUGUCUUUUCUGUAGUGAACCUAAAUCUGUAGAUCAUUUAUUUUUUGAUUGUGUCAUUUUGAUAGAGCUCUGGAGAGUGGGUUUUUGA
Molecule: ribosomal RNA, 366 nt
Filed under: Triticum aestivum (bread wheat)
Lineage: Eukaryota; Viridiplantae; Streptophyta; Magnoliopsida; Poales; Poaceae
Description: partial small subunit ribosomal RNA
Source: RNAcentral